RNAcentral lists this ribosomal RNA (1394 nucleotides) under Staphylococcus sp. RNAcentral's name for it is "bacterial SSU rRNA". It matches the Rfam family "Bacterial small subunit ribosomal RNA", at positions 62 to 1437 of the family's 1533-position model. Lineage: Bacteria; Bacillati; Bacillota; Bacilli; Caryophanales; Staphylococcaceae. The record is from RNAcentral.
UCGAGCGAACAGAUAAGGAGCUUGCUCCUUUGACGUUAGCGGCGGACGGGUGAGUAACACGUGGGUAACCUACCUAUAAGACUGGGAUAACUUCGGGAAACCGGAGCUAAUACCGGAUAACAUUUGGAACCGCAUGGUUCUAAAGUGAAAGAUGGUUUUGCUAUCACUUAUAGAUGGACCCGCGCCGUAUUAGCUAGUUGGUAAGGUAACGGCUUACCAAGGCGACGAUACGUAGCCGACCUGAGAGGGUGAUCGGCCACACUGGAACUGAGACACGGUCCAGACUCCUACGGGAGGCAGCAGUAGGGAAUCUUCCGCAAUGGGCGAAAGCCUGACGGAGCAACGCCGCGUGAGUGAUGAAGGGUUUCGGCUCGUAAAACUCUGUUAUUAGGGAAGAACAAACGUGUAAGUAACUGUGCACGUCUUGACGGUACCUAAUCAGAAAGCCACGGCUAACUACGUGCCAGCAGCCGCGGUAAUACGUAGGUGGCAAGCGUUAUCCGGAAUUAUUGGGCGUAAAGCGCGCGUAGGCGGUUUCUUAAGUCUGAUGUGAAAGCCCACGGCUCAACCGUGGAGGGUCAUUGGAAACUGGGAAACUUGAGUGCAGAAGAGGAAAGUGGAAUUCCAUGUGUAGCGGUGAAAUGCGCAGAGAUAUGGAGGAACACCAGUGGCGAAGGCGACUUUCUGGUCUGUAACUGACGCUGAUGUGCGAAAGCGUGGGGAUCAAACAGGAUUAGAUACCCUGGUAGUCCACGCCGUAAACGAUGAGUGCUAAGUGUUAGGGGGUUUCCGCCCCUUAGUGCUGCAGCUAACGCAUUAAGCACUCCGCCUGGGGAGUACGACCGCAAGGUUGAAACUCAAAGGAAUUGACGGGGACCCGCACAAGCGGUGGAGCAUGUGGUUUAAUUCGAAGCAACGCGAAGAACCUUACCAAAUCUUGACAUCCUUUGAAAACUCUAGAGAUAGAGCCUUCCCCUUCGGGGGACAAAGUGACAGGUGGUGCAUGGUUGUCGUCAGCUCGUGUCGUGAGAUGUUGGGUUAAGUCCCGCAACGAGCGCAACCCUUAAGCUUAGUUGCCAUCAUUAAGUUGGGCACUCUAGGUUGACUGCCGGUGACAAACCGGAGGAAGGUGGGGAUGACGUCAAAUCAUCAUGCCCCUUAUGAUUUGGGCUACACACGUGCUACAAUGGACAAUACAAAGGGCAGCUAAACCGCGAGGUCAUGCAAAUCCCAUAAAGUUGUUCUCAGUUCGGAUUGUAGUCUGCAACUCGACUACAUGAAGCUGGAAUCGCUAGUAAUCGUAGAUCAGCAUGCUACGGUGAAUACGUUCCCGGGUCUUGUACACACCGCCCGUCACACCACGAGAGUUUGUAACACCCGAAGCCGGUGGAGUA